AUUUUCUUAAAGGAUUUCUUGAUGCUAAUGGCUUGUAUUGCUUUCCUCAUAUCCCGUUGGAACAUUCAAAUACAUAUGAUGUAGUUUCCCUUACUUCCAAUAAUUGUACACCUAACUAUAAGUCUUUUUCCUCGUAUUCCAAUAAUUGGUCAUAGUGCAAUGACUCGCAUGUCCACACCUGUGAAUUGGUACAUACCUAUGCAGUUGAAAUAUUCAAAGUUUUGGUUCCUCCAUGAUUGAAAAUACCAGUUUGGUCCCUAUCACUGGAUGGAUUUUGUUUCAGUUACAUUUUAAACACAACUGUUAUAAUAUAAUAUGACAACAGAUGGGCAAUUGAAAUCAUCGUCAAAUAUUCAGCAACAGGCCCAACAACAAACUUUGUCGGCUGUUUUACCUGCUUCAGCUGUUGUUAAUAUUUCCCCCUGCUUCAGGUGCUUGAGCACUUCCUCCCUGGUACAUUGUAAGAAGCUAAAUACAAUGUCCAACAUGAGAAGGUACAGGAAUUCUGGUUUUAAGGAAAAUGAAAAUAAGAACAUCAACACCGCCCCAGUUGAAAAUGUUUGGCCACAACAGUCUGUAUGGCUGCUAAGGAGGUUUUUCAGCAAAUCCCUGGGACACUGUUGGUGAAAGGUUCAGUACAAGAUAAGAAUAGCCCAUUAUUAGGAGCAUUCUCAGAUUUUCGUUAAACUGGAAGAAACAUUGCGGAGUAAAUUUUGUACUAGAUCAGUAUAAAUUAUGAGAAGUUCACAAGUGCUCAUUUCUGGGGUCAGGAUUUAAAGAAAUCAAGUGAAGGUGUUGGUGUAAAAAAGGAAAUAGAAGGCAACAAUAAAACACUCAUAGUGAUUCCGCUUGUGAAAAAUUUGAUCGAUAAUGCAUGUGAUUCUGACGAUCGGUAUUCGAAUAUGUUUGACAGAAUAAUCAAGUUUGUUGUCGGUAUAUCCUGUUGAGUACGAUGCAGUUCAUUUGUUAUGGUUGCAAGUGAUUGCUGAGUCUCCUCGUGCAUUCUAACAGUCGGACAUUCCAUAGAGUUGGUGCAUCUCUUUGCCUUUAUUCUCAAACCAAAACUUUGACUGAUAUCGAGAAGGCUUGUACAAGAGCUCCUCGACUGCGUUUUGUCCUUCACGAAACACCGAGACAAUGGAGUCCCAAGCAGGGAGACUGGAUAGGAAAGGAGAAGGAUGAAAUGUUGCUUCUGCUUACAUCAGAAGUUGUAAUUACAAAACAUUGCAGUUUUAAUUCGGUUGUGCAAAAGAUGAACUGUAUGCCAACCUUGGGUCUUUGUAACAGCUAGAGUGAAGAAUGGUUAUCCAUCAGUACAACACACUUCAUGGAUGUGGAAUAUUCUUGAACCUUCGAGCGUGAUCCAUGGUAUUGACUAAACCCUGAAGAAAAGGAGAUUCCAAUUAUAGUCUUGAAGUUAAGUAGAUGCUCCUGAUUAAUACUACCUCCGUUCCUUUUUAUAAGAGACAAGUCAUUUUUUAGAUUCAUUGAAUAACUAAUGUAUUUGGUCUCUUUAUAGACUAGAUACAUUGAUUAUUCAAUGAAUCUAAAAAGUGAAUUUUCUCUUAUAAAAAGGAACGGAGAUAGUAGUAGUUUGUUGUCAUUUUCUGUGUAGUUUUUGAUAUAGAGAGAUAUGAAACACUAAUUAAGGAAGACAUGUUUCACCACUUUUUAUGAAAACUGUACAUGAGACUGGUAUAAUAUUAUAUUUGGAAAGUUACUGCAAGUAGUUUUUCUUACUUUUAAGACCAUUUGUAAGUUAGAUGUUCAUAGUUAUUGUGCUAUGACAAAUUUCUGAACAAAGCCAUUAUUUCUCAAACAUAGGAGAUUUAUAAAUAUAGCACCACAAAUUUUCCAUGAUGAUGUCUAAAAUUCAUGUAUAUGUCAUGUGAACAUGAAAUAAAUUUUUGGCUUCAUUUACAAGUUCAAAAAUAUUGAUUCCUAAGUGGUCAGAAAAGAAAUCUUUAAUCUUUAACGUGUAUUGCAGACCAUAUAUAAAUAAUUAUAUUUAAAACAUUUCAAUAUUAAAGGAAUACACCUUUCAACUAGGAUUUAAAUUACUUCAAACAUAUGGUUGUUUGGUUUUGCUAAGACAGUUGGAUAUGGGAAUGUUUUGUGUGCAGAACUUUGGGGGAUCUAUGAAGGCAUCAUGCUUACGAUGAAGGCAGGAUUUCACAAGGUAGAAGUGCAUUCUGAUUCCAAGCAAGCAGUGGAGAUCAUUCAGAGUUUUGCUGGGAGGAACCAUAGCAACUUGCAGCUUGUUACCCAGAUUCGAAGAGUGCUUGCUAAUUGUGGUGAUUUUGAUAUAUGUCAUACGCAUAGGGAAGCAAAUGUGUGUGCACAUGAGCUAGCUAAAGUUGGGAAAAGUCUUAGUGAGGGCAGUAUUGUUUUUUAUGAUAUUCCUCCUUCUGUUUUGAGUAGUUUUGAGGAUGAUUUUAUGGGGGUGUCUUCCCCUAGGUUUGCUGCUCUCUAGUUUGUUUGUUUCUUUGGGCUUAGGCCCUCUUUUAAACCAAAAAAAAAAAAAUGAUAAUUUGAAUUUAAA
This is a long non-coding RNA of Vicia villosa (hairy vetch), 2542 nucleotides long. RefSeq lists it as uncharacterized. The transcript has 7 exons. The record is from RefSeq and is a predicted model, not a curated record. Lineage: Eukaryota; Viridiplantae; Streptophyta; Magnoliopsida; Fabales; Fabaceae.